UAUAUAUAUUGAAAACAUAAAUAUACAUCACACUAAAGUAAAGAACUCGCAAGAAAAUAUAAUUGUAUUUUUUGAUACUUCAACUAUAGAGGUGCAACACGAAGAAUCGAAGUGAAACAACACUGAUGUGCAAUAUUUUUUUUAUCAAUAGAGUCUGGUUUCCAGGCAUGCCAAACGAAGUGAGCUUCUUAAAUUGCACCAUUAACACAAAUUUAAGCUCAACAAAUUAAUAAAAUAUGUUUUGUCUCAUUACAUUAAUAAAUAAAUUAUAAAUAUAUAAGAUUGAAAAUAUAAAAGUAAAAUUUAGAACAGGAGUUUAACCUUUAAAAGAUUAACAAUGGAAGAAACUACUCCUUUC
Molecule: long non-coding RNA, 358 nt
Filed under: Medicago truncatula (barrel medic)
Lineage: Eukaryota; Viridiplantae; Streptophyta; Magnoliopsida; Fabales; Fabaceae
Description: long non-coding RNA (MTRU_LNC006787)
Source: RNAcentral